UAGUACGAGAGGACCGAGUUGGACGAACCUCUAGUGUACCUGUUGUUUCGCCAGAAGCAUUGCAGGGUAGCUACGUUCGGAAGGGAUAAGCGCUGAAAGCAUAUAAGCGCGAAACCCACCACAAGAUGAGAUUUCUUUAAAGGGUCGUGGGAGAUGACCACGUUGAUAGGCUAUAGGUGUAAAGGCAGUAAUGUCAUAGCCAAGUAGUACUAAUAACCCGUAGGCUUAUUGUACGCC
Molecule: ribosomal RNA, 237 nt
Filed under: Winogradskyella sp.
Lineage: Bacteria; Pseudomonadati; Bacteroidota; Flavobacteriia; Flavobacteriales; Flavobacteriaceae
Description: partial 23S ribosomal RNA
Rfam family: Bacterial large subunit ribosomal RNA
Source: RNAcentral